GUGCCAGCAGCCGCGGUAAUACCGGCAGCCCGAGUGAUGGCCGAUCUUAUUGGGCCUAAAGCGUCCGUAGCUGGCCGCGCAAGUCCAUCGGGAAAUCCACCCGCCCAACGGGUGGCCGUCCGGUGGAAACUGCACGGCUUGGGACCGGAAGGCGCGACGGGUACGUCCGGGGUAGGAGUGAAAUCCUGUAAUCCUGGACGGACCGCCGGUGGCGAAAGCGCCUCGGGAAGACGGACCCGACAGUGAGGGACGAAAGCUGGGAUCUCGAACCGGAUUAGAUACCCCAGUAGUCC
Molecule: ribosomal RNA, 293 nt
Filed under: uncultured bacterium
Lineage: Bacteria
Description: partial 16S ribosomal RNA
Rfam family: Archaeal small subunit ribosomal RNA
Source: RNAcentral